UACAGAGGGUGCAAGCGUUAAUCGGAAUUACUGGGCGUAAAGCGUGCGUAGACGGUUACAUAAGUCGGGUGUGAAAGCCCCGGGCUCAACCUGGGAAUGGCAUUCGAGACUGUGUAGCUAGGAUGCGGAAGAGGGAAGCGGAAUUUCCGGUGUAGCGGUGAAAUGCGUAGAUAUCAGGAGGAACACCGGUGGCGAAGGCGGUUCUCUGGGCAUUACCUGACGCUGAGGAGCGAAAGUGUGGGGAGCGAACAGG
Molecule: ribosomal RNA, 253 nt
Filed under: uncultured bacterium
Lineage: Bacteria
Description: partial 16S ribosomal RNA
Rfam family: Bacterial small subunit ribosomal RNA
Source: RNAcentral